Molecule: non-coding RNA, 24 nt
Filed under: Arabidopsis thaliana (thale cress)
Lineage: Eukaryota; Viridiplantae; Streptophyta; Magnoliopsida; Brassicales; Brassicaceae
Source: RNAcentral
AAGCAGCAGCGGUAUCAUUGUGGU